Molecule: transfer RNA, 69 nt
Filed under: Phormia regina (black blowfly)
Lineage: Eukaryota; Metazoa; Arthropoda; Insecta; Diptera; Calliphoridae
Description: tRNA-Gln
Source: RNAcentral
UAUAUUUUGGUGUAUGAUGCACAAAUGAUUUUGUUACUUUUAGAAAUAGUUUAAUUCUAUUAAAUAUAA